RNAcentral lists this ribosomal RNA (440 nucleotides) under uncultured bacterium. RNAcentral's name for it is "partial 16S ribosomal RNA". It matches the Rfam family "Bacterial small subunit ribosomal RNA", at positions 338 to 795 of the family's 1533-position model. The record is from RNAcentral.
CCUACGGGUGGCAGCAGUGAGGGAUAUUGGUCAAUGGGGGAAACCCUGAACCAGCAACGCCGCGUGAGGGAAGACGGUUUUCGGAUUGUAAACCUCUGUCCUCUGUGAAGAUAAUGACGGUACCUGAGUAAGAAGCACCGUCUAAAUACGUUCCAGCAGCCGCGGUAAUACGUAGGGUGCAGGCGUUAUCCGGAUUUACUGGGUGUAAAGGGAGCGCAGGCGGAACGGCAAGCCUGAUGUGAAAGCCCGCGGCCCAACCGGGGGACUGCAUUGGGAACUACCGGGCUGGAGUGCCGGAGAGGUAGGCGGAAUUCCUAGUGUAGCGGUGAAAUGCGUAGAUAUUAGGAGGAACACCAGUGGCGAAGGCGGUCUACUGGACGGUGACUGACGCUGAGGCUCGAAAGCGUGGGGAGCAAACAGGAUUAGAUACCCUAGUAGUC